RNAcentral lists this ribosomal RNA (1053 nucleotides) under uncultured bacterium. RNAcentral describes it as "bacterial SSU rRNA". It matches the Rfam family "Archaeal small subunit ribosomal RNA", at positions 81 to 1141 of the family's 1478-position model. The record is from RNAcentral.
CGCCCUUGCUCAGUAACACGUGGAUAACCUGCCCUAAGGAAGGGGAUAACCUCGGGAAACUGAGGAUAAUACCCUAUAGGUUACAGACGCUGGAAUGCCCUGUAACCGAAAGCUCCGGCGCCUUAGGAUGGAUCUGCGGCCGAUUAGGUUGUUGUUGGGGUAACGGCCCAACAAGCCGAUAAUCGGUACGGGUUGUGGGAGCAAGAGCCCGGAGUUGGAUUCUGAGACACGAAUCCAGGCCCUACGGGGCGCAGCAGGCGCGAAAACUUUACAAUGCGGGAAACCGUGAUAAGGGAACCUCGAGUGCCUGUAUAUGCAGGCUGUCCAGGUGUCUAAAAAACACCUGAAGAAAGGGCCGGGCAAGACCGGUGCCAGCCGCCGCGGUAAUACCGGCGGCUCGAGUGGUGGCCACUUUUAUUGGGCUUAAAGCGUUCGUAGCUGGGUUGUUAAGUCUCUUGGGAAAUCUGACGGCUCAACCGUCAGGCGUCCAAGGGAUACUGGCAAUCUUGGAACCGGGAGAGGUGAGGGGUACUUCGGGGGUAGGAGUGAAAUCCUGUAAUCCUCGAGGGACCACCUGUGGCGAAGGCGCCUCACCAGAACGGCUUCGACAGUGAGGGACGAAAGCUGGGGGAGCAAACCGGAUUAGAUACCCGGGUAGUCCCAGCCCUAAACGAUGCGCGUUAGGUGUAUCGGUGACCACGAGUCACCGAGGUGCCGAAGGGAAACCGUGAAACGUGCCGCCUGGGAAGUACGGUCGCAAGGCUGAAACUUAAAGGAAUUGGCGGGGGAGCACCACAGCGGGUGGAGCCUGCGGUUUAAUUGGACUCAACGCCGGGAAGCUCACCGGAUAAGACAGCGGAAUGAUUGCCGGGCUGAAGACCCUGCAUGACCAGCUGAGAGGAGGUGCAUGGCCGUCGUCAGUUCGUACUGUGAAGCAUCCUGUUAAGUCAGACAACGAGCGAGACCCACGCCAACAGUUGCCAGCAUGGUCUCCGGACUGAUGGGGACACUGUUGGGACCGCUCUGCUAAAGAGGAGGAAGGAUGGGCAACGG